RNAcentral lists this ribosomal RNA (792 nucleotides) under uncultured bacterium. RNAcentral's name for it is "bacterial SSU rRNA". It matches the Rfam family "Bacterial small subunit ribosomal RNA", at positions 59 to 818 of the family's 1533-position model. The record is from RNAcentral.
CAGUCGAACGAAACUUCUUUAUCACCGAGUGCUUGCACUCACCGAUACAGAGUUGAGUGGCGAACGGGUGAGUAACACGUGGGCAACCUGCCCAAAAGAGGGGGAUAACACUUGGAAACAGGUGCUAAUACCGCAUAACCAUAGUUACCGCAUGGUAACUAUGUAAAAGGUGGCUAUACUACCGCUUUUGGAUGGGCCCGCGGCGCAUUAGCUAGUUGGUAGGGUAAAGGCUUACCAAGGCAAUGAUGCGUAGCCGAAUUGAGAGGUUGAUCGGCCACAUUGGGACUGAGACACGGCCCAAACUCCUACGGGAGGCAGCAGUAGGGAAUCUUCCACAAUGGGCGAAAGCCUGAUGGAGCAACGCCGCGUGGGUGAAGAAGGUCUUCGGAUCGUAAAACCCUGUUGUUAGAGAAGAAAGUGCGUGAGAGUAACUGUUCACGUUUCGACGGUAUCUAACCAGAAAGCCACGGCUAACUACGUGCCAGCAGCCGCGGUAAUACGUAGGUGGCAAGCGUUAUCCGGAUUUAUUGGGCGUAAAGGGAACGCAGGCGGUCUUUUAGGUCUGAUGUGAAAGCCUUCGGCUUAACCGGAGUAGUGCAUUGGAAACUGGGAGACUUGAGUGCAGAAGAGGAGAGUGGAACUCCAUGUGUAGCGGUGAAAUGCGUAGAUAUAUGGAAGAACACCAGUGGCGAAAGCGGCUCUCUGGUCUGUAACUGACGCUGAGGUUCGAAAGCGUGGGUAGCAAACAGGAUUAGAUACCCUGGUAGUCCACGCCGUAAACGAUGAAUGCUA